Non-coding RNA from Macaca mulatta (Rhesus monkey), 338 nucleotides. Lineage: Eukaryota; Metazoa; Chordata; Mammalia; Primates; Cercopithecidae. The record is from RefSeq and is a predicted model, not a curated record.
UGCGGCUGACUCACAGACGUCCAGGGCCUGAGCUCCAAGCAGCAAUGACUGUAGACGCUCAUGGAUUCAGGUUUUCAACUUCUGCCGGUAAAAUACAGCAUGCUAAUUCUUCCUAAUGUGGACCAUCCCGAGACUGAUAACAUCAUGCUUAAUGGAAAAAAAAAAGGCUGAAUGUCUUCCCCCUAAACUGAGGAACAAGACUGGGGUGUCCUCUUCUGCCAUUUCUAUUUGACAUUGUACUGAAGGUUCUAAACAGCGGAGUAAGGCAAGAAAAAUGAAUAAAAUACAUUGUGAUUAGAAAGGGAAGAGUACAAUUUCUUUAUUCAUGAAUGUUGAAU